GACGCGCUCGCUCCCUUCCCCGCAAACUAUGGUCAGAAGCGAGGGAAGUGGCGGAGAGGGCUGGGUAGCGGGCCGGCCAAUGGGGGCCCGCGGGGGUCGGGAGGGUUCUCAAAGAACGGAGGGGCUGAAAAGGGGAAGAAGAGAGGAAGGGGGACGGGGAAGGCGACGCGGCCGCUGAUUGGACCGUUUGAAUGAGACGCCGCCACGGCCCGGCAUACGCGCGGGCGCGCCCUGACGCUGAGGAAGUCGCGCACGCGACUAACGGUCUUCCUGGGGGCCGGAGCGUGGCGAGGGGAGGCGGGACUCGGGGUUUUAAACGCGUGAUGGAAGGCGCUCGGGCCAAUAGGGAUGCGCUUUAGUGACUGGUGGGUCACGAGACUCGCAUGGGCCAAUGACUGAUAGAGACCGGUCAGAGGGCGACCCAGUUUCGUGCAGAUCAAACCGCUGCCAGCCAACGAAAUCCGUUGAUUUUUGUAUAUGCAAAUGAAGUGUGCGCUGCCGCCCGCGCCCCCUCCUUUGAGCCGUGGUGGAGGUGGGCGCUGGAACUCCGACUACAUUUUUCUAUGAGGCGCCAUUUUGUGCUGGAAAUGCUCUUGGACCCACGUCCUGUAUUGCUAAGGCUCAAAGAUCAGUCAGAAUGACCUUGAAGGCUUGGACAGCCUUGCACUCCGUGUGUGACCCCCACUCCUGCCAGGCUUCAUCGAAGACGCCAGCCUCAGUUUCCUUAUGUGACAAAUGGGCACUGGGAUCCGUUGUAUUGCCAGGGAAAGAAGUCAGAGAGUGCCAAGACGGUUAUUCACGGCAUGGUUAUGCCUAUGACUGACCCAUGGCCUCCAGCCACACCCGCCUUCUCUGGGACUCAGUUUCCCUCUCUAGGAAAUGGACACAUAGCUGCCUGGAAAAGGGACCAUCUCCAGCCCUCAGUGUCAGUAAAAACGUCAGGCAAUUGCUUGAGAACGGUGGCCAGAGCUCCCUGAGCAGGCCUUUUGGAGGGGCUUAGAGAGGAGGAGGGAAUGCUGAAGUUGGCCUUCCUUUGCUCAUCUGUGCAGUGCGGUCGCAGUGCCCUCUCGGUGUCUCUGCCAGUCUGUGCGUCCACAGCUCUUCUUAGUUUCUUGGCCUUUUUCAGCCAUGGAUGAGAGCAUUAACAUCUGGGCCUAAUUUGGCCACAGGUACCUGAAAAGACCCCUGGCUACCAGCUUCCCCUCAUGGGGCCUCAGCUUCUGAAGAAGGAAUAAGGAAGGUGUGAAAGAAAUCUACAUGGCCAAGGCCAGGCGUGGUAGCUCACGCCUGUAAUCCCAGCACUUUGGGAGGCUGAAGCUGGCAGAUCACCUGAGGUCAGGAGUUUGAGACCAGCCUGGCCAACAUGGUGAAACCCCAUCUGUACUAAAAAUACAAAAAUUAGCCAGGUGUGUUGAUGCAGCCCUGUAAUCCCAGCUACUCGUGAGGCUGAGAUGGGAGAAUCGGUUAAAGCCGGGAUGUGGAGGUUGCAGUGAACUGAGAUCUCGCCACUGCACCCCAGCCUGGGCAACAGAGCAAGACCCUGUCUCAAAAAACAAAAAAGCAAAAAAAAAAAAAAAACCAAAAAACAAAACCUACAUGGUCGGGUACAGUGACUACGCCCAUAAUCCCAGCACUUUGGGAGGCCAAGGUAGGUCGAUCACUUGAGCCCAGGAGUUCAAGACCAGCCUGGGCAACAUAGUGAGAGACCCCCACCAAUAUGUACAAAACAAACAAACCCAAAACAACUGAAGAAACAGCUACAGCAUAAAAAGUCAUCAUCAUAACUAGUUUGUGGAGAAAUGGCUUCAGGUGAUCCCUUCCUGCUCCCUCACCCCAGGUCCAAUCUAUACCAGUUCCUGUUGACGUCAUCUACUGAAUCUCAUCACGUCCCCCCAUCCGCUAUGCCACCAGUCCUGCUUAGAGUCAACGUCAUCCCAUUUUGCCGAUAAGCAUUUUGCUGAUCUUCAAUUUUAGCCUGCUGGGUGUGGAGGAUUCCAACCCAAUUAACAGACAAGGAAGCUGAAGGAGCAGGAGUGUCUACACUCUAGCUGUCAGGAUGCUAUGGGAUACAGCAGAGAAUAAAAGGGACAAAGCCUCGACUUUCAUGGAUCUUACAUCCUGGUGCGGGAGCCAGAUAGCAAUUCUCUUUCCAGAGUGAUGCGCAAACAAACCCUCAGAUGCAAGGUGAAAGCCUGAAGCUUAGAGACAAAUAUUUAGUUGCAUCUAGGGAGAAUUUUCCUAAAGUUCGUAAAAUUGGUACAUAGAGGAACCUCCCCUCCUGGCCAGAGUCUGCAUCUGAGCACUAAGGUAAGGAGGCAACUCUCGUCAGCACUGUGCAAAUGUUUUAAUGCACUGGGUGGGAAAGGGAAGCAGGCAGGGAGAAUGCUUCCUUUUUGUAUUUUUUAUUUUUGAGACAAA
This 2418-nucleotide long non-coding RNA is filed under the name Homo sapiens (human). RNAcentral's name for it is "HSALNT0398773". Lineage: Eukaryota; Metazoa; Chordata; Mammalia; Primates; Hominidae. The record is from RNAcentral.